Molecule: long non-coding RNA, 2239 nt
Filed under: Heterocephalus glaber (naked mole-rat)
Lineage: Eukaryota; Metazoa; Chordata; Mammalia; Rodentia; Bathyergidae
Description: lncRNA (ENSHGLG00000043951.1)
Source: RNAcentral
CCUGGGUUCAGCCCUUAGUACUGUAAAACAAACAAAACCCCAACAAACAAACAAAAAAACCCCAGCAGCCUCUAUGGCAACCCUGGUCACUAUGGCAACCAUGAAACCUAGAACUAUCCAGUCAAUAAGGCCAGCAGACCAGGUUUGGAGCUCUGCUCAAAAAGUGCUGAUUUGAAGCACUAUCAUUAUGUGACCAUCUGGCAGUUUCCUGGAAAACUAUCAUUUGAAGGACCCAUUAUUUGACCUGACUCAGCAACUCACUGGGGAAAGCCUUAUUCCCAGGGAAUGUGCCUAAAUCAGUCAGUGACAACUAUACAACAUGUAACAUUGCAGCUGCCUGAGGCUGCAAUACCAGUUGAGGGGUCAUGAAACAUCUACUUCAAGAGUUGUUAUGCUGAUUAAAUGCAAUUAUGAAGCUCCUGAACCAGCAGUCCUUCCCGGCACAGGUUUGAACUCCUUCUUAUCAGUUGCUAGUCCAGCUUUCUUACCAUGUACCAGCUCUACUUUUUCUGAACAUUCUUUGAUCUGGAAAAUGAAAGUGAGAUGAACACGUAAGUCCAACUUUGAAACAUAACAACCCAACAGCCAGGCCAGUAAGACAUUUUGCUGCCAGAGCUACCAACAUGACAUUGGUGUCCUUUCCAACAACCUACAAUGGAAGAAAAAGGAAAACAAGACAGUCACAACUGUGUAGAAGAGUACUGAAAAACAUUCUCAAAAGAACUCUGAAAGCUACUGUGCUAAUGGAUGAUCCAUCUUAUUUCCUAUAAAAGAGGAAACCUUAUUCCUCUUUGAUAAUAAUGAAUCUAGAAGCCUUUGUCAUGUUCAGUCUAUCUUUAAGUUCUACAUAAAGCACACAUAAAACAACUUCAAAUCGCUUGACACAGGUGGCAAUUUGGGCUGUCACCAUCACACAGCUGCAGGAGGUGACUCAGAUAACGGCGAUGCUGCAGGUUUACUUUUGGAACAAGAAAAUUAAAAAAGUGUACUUAACACCACAGGGCCCAAAGUAGGUAACUACAAUGUCUAAUAUUUAUACUCAUGAAGUACCAACAGAAACUUUGAAGUUCAGAACUCAAAAUUUCAAAUGCAUCUGAGGGAGUGCCUAGCUUUGGAGCUGCCACUGUAGUCAUACAAGGACAGUCAUAUAACCUCUGAGAAAUGGAAAGCCCACAGAAUACUGAAAAAAAGACAGUUUUAAAAAUAAUUUCAGAAAUCCAAAAGGAAUUUCAAAAUAAGUUUUUUACUGUUUACACUAGAAGAAAAAAAUGGGAAAUUAAUUAGAUUACUUGAUUUAGAUAACAGAGAGAAAACAAUAUUAACUGUAGGAGGAGGAAUCAAGUCUGUAUCUUAAUUCCUUAAUAUCAUUCUUUUUUUUUUUUUGUAGUACCAGGGAUUGAACUCAGGACUUGUGAGGCAGGCACAGCACCACUGAGCUAAAUCCCCAGCCCUCUUAAUAUCAUUUUUUUCUUCCCAUUUUCCCAUUUUUGAUAUGCUGCUGUGAAGUCAACAUAAUAUGAAGUUUGCAUAUUUGUGUGUGCACCUAAGUAAAAUCAAAUAUAAAUAUUGCGAUGUCAUGGUUCAGAUUAAUUCACACAAUGAUGAAAUUAAGUUUUCAUCAUUUUAAAUAUUUUAGCCACAAAAUUAACUUUCUUUUUACUUGCAGCUUUUGACUGAUAAAGUUUCUACAGCUGCCUAGAUUUCUCAGGUAUCUACUGACUAUGUCUACUCAGACUAUGUCAUGGGCUGGAGCUGUAACUCAGUGGUAGACCAUGUGCUGAGCAUACUCGAGACCCUGAGUUUGAUCCUCAGUACCACAAAUAAGGAGAGGAAAAAUAAGAAUAAGAAAAAGAAAAAGGAAACCAACAGUUCCCUUUGUAUGCAACACAGUGAGAUUACAGUUAUAGUCACAAUGCCAACAGAAAUCACAGAACUGUCUUUGAAAAGCUAACAACCUAAAAAAAAUGUGUAUAGAGAAUACCCAUUCCUAUUAAAGACAAAAAUAAAAAGCUAUUUCCUGUUUCUUAGUGUCCUCUUCCUCUCUCCUUCCCAUUCUUUCCUCCAGAUCUCAGGUCGCUAACUCCUUUUCCCUCAGGGAAAUUGUUUUUUUAAUUAAUCAUGUCUAUGGCCCUUUAAAAUACAAAAUUGGUGAAUGAACAAAGAUCUGACAAAUCAUAUCCUUGCCAUCAAGUCCCAUUUGGAGGAAAGCAUAGGAAAGUCAACUACUACAGUAUUAGGA